GACGAACGCUGGCGGCGUGCUUAACACAUGCAAGUCGAACGGAAAGGCCCUGCUUUUGUGGGGUGCUCGAGUGGCGAACGGGUGAGUAACACGUGAGUAACCUGCCCUUGACUUUGGGAUAACUUCAGGAAACUGGGGCUAAUACCGGAUAGGAGCUCCUGCUGCAUGGUGGGGGUUGGAAAGUUUCGGCGGUUGGGGAUGGACUCGCGGCUUAUCAGCUUGUUGGUGGGGUAGUGGCUUACCAAGGCUUUGACGGGUAGCUGGCCUGAGAGGGUGACCGGCCACAUUGGGACUGAGAUACGGCCCAGACUCCUACGGGAGGCAGCAGUGGGGAAUAUUGCACAAUGGGCGGAAGCCUGAUGCAGCAACGCCGCGUGCGGGAUGACGGCCUUCGGGUUGUAAACCGCUUUCGCCUGUGACGAAGCGUGAGUGACGGUAAUGGGUAAAGAAGCACCAGCUAACUACGUG
Molecule: ribosomal RNA, 468 nt
Filed under: uncultured bacterium
Lineage: Bacteria
Description: partial 16S ribosomal RNA
Rfam family: Bacterial small subunit ribosomal RNA
Source: RNAcentral